This 75-nucleotide transfer RNA is filed under the name Caudoviricetes sp. RNAcentral describes it as "tRNA-Met". It matches the Rfam family "tRNA". Rfam says of the family: Transfer RNA (tRNA) molecules are approximately 80 nucleotides in length. Their secondary structure includes four short double-helical elements and three loops (D, anti-codon, and T loops). Lineage: Duplodnaviria; Heunggongvirae; Uroviricota; Caudoviricetes. The record is from RNAcentral.
CGCAGAGUGGAGCAGUUAGUAGCUCGCCAGAGUCAUAAUCUGGAGGUCGCUGGAGCGAAGCCAGCCUCUGCCCCA